This 433-nucleotide ribosomal RNA is filed under the name uncultured bacterium. RNAcentral describes it as "partial 16S ribosomal RNA". It matches the Rfam family "Bacterial small subunit ribosomal RNA", at positions 29 to 507 of the family's 1533-position model. The record is from RNAcentral.
AACGAACGCUGGCGGCAUGCCUAACACAUGCAAGUCGAACGAGACCUUCGGGUCUAGUGGCGCACGGGUGCGUAACGCGUGGGAACCUGCCCUUAGGUUCGGAAUAACUCCCCGAAAGGGGUGCUAAUACCGGAUAAUGUCUUCGGACCAAAGAUUUAUCGCCUUUGGAUGGGCCCGCGUUGGAUUAGCUAGUUGGUAGGGUAAAAGCCUACCAAGGCGACGAUCCAUAGCUGGUCUGAGAGGAUGAUCAGCCACACUGGGACUGAGACACGGCCCAGACUCCUACGGGAGGCAGAAGUGGGGAAUAUUGGACAAUGGGCGAAAGACUGAUCCAGCAAUGCCGCGUGAGUGAUGAAGGCCUUAGGGUUGUAAAGCUCUUUUACCCGGGAUGAUAAUGACAGUACCGGGAGAAUAAGAUCCGGAUAACUCCGUG